UACGUAGGGUGCAAGCGUUGUCCGGAAUUAUUGGGCGUAAAGAGCUCGUAGGCGGUUUGUCGCGUCUGCCGUGAAAGUCCGGGGCUCAACUCCGGAUCUGCGGUGGGUACGGGCAGACUAGAGUGAUGUAGGGGAGACUGGAAUUCCUGGUGUAGCGGUGAAAUGCGCAGAUAUCAGGAGGAACACCGAUGGCGAAGGCAGGUCUCUGGGCAUUACCUGACGCUGAGGCACGAAAGCGUGGGGAGCAAACAGG
RNAcentral lists this ribosomal RNA (253 nucleotides) under uncultured bacterium. RNAcentral describes it as "partial 16S ribosomal RNA". It matches the Rfam family "Bacterial small subunit ribosomal RNA", at positions 524 to 776 of the family's 1533-position model. The record is from RNAcentral.